UAUGGCUCAGGAUGAACGCUAGCGGGAGGCCUAACACAUGCAAGCCGAGCGGUAGAAGAUCUUCGGAUCUUUGAGAGCGGCGCACGGGUGCGGAACACGUGUGCAACCUACCUUUAUCAGGGGGAUAGCCUUUCGAAAGGAAGAUUAAUACCCCAUAAUAUAUUUUACGGCAUCGUAAGAUAUUGAAAACUCCGGUGGAUAGAGAUGGGCACGCGCAAGAUUAGAUAGUUGGUGAGGUAACGGCUCACCAAGUCAAUGAUCUUUAGGGGGCCUGAGAGGGUGAUCCCCCACACUGGUACUGAGACACGGACCAGACUCCUACGGGAGGCAGCAGUGAGGAAUAUUGGACAAUGGGUGAGAGCCUGAUCCAGCCAUCCCGCGUGAAGGACGACGGCCCUAUGGGUUGUAAACUUCUUUUGUAUAGGGAUAAACCUACUCUCGUGAGAGUAGCUGAAGGUACUAUACGAAUAAGCACCGGCUAACUCCGUGCCAGCAGCCGCGGUAAUACGGAGGGUGCAAGCGUUAUCCGGAUUUAUUGGGUUUAAAGGGUCCGUAGGCGGACUCGUAAGUCAGUGGUGAAAUCUCAUAGCUUAACUAUGAAACUGCCAUUGAUACUGCGGGUCUUGAGUAAAGUAGAAGUGGCUGGAAUAAGUAGUGUAGCGGUGAAAUGCAUAGAUAUUACUUAGAACACCAAUUGCGAAGGCAGGUCACUAUGUUUUAACUG
Molecule: ribosomal RNA, 724 nt
Filed under: Chryseobacterium sp. CI54
Lineage: Bacteria; Pseudomonadati; Bacteroidota; Flavobacteriia; Flavobacteriales; Weeksellaceae
Description: bacterial SSU rRNA
Rfam family: Bacterial small subunit ribosomal RNA
Source: RNAcentral